CCUACGGGAGGCAGCAGUGGGGAAUAUUGCACAAUGGGGGAAACCCUGAUGCAGCGACGCCGCGUGAGGGAAGAAGUAUUUCGGUAUGUAAAGCUCUAUCAGCAGGGAAGAAAAUGACAGUACCUGACCAAGAAGCCCCGGCUAACUACGUGCCAGCAGCCGCGGUAAUACGUAGGGGGCAAGCGUUAUCCGGAUUUACUGGGUGUAAAGGGAGCGUAGACGGUUAUGCAAGUCUGGAGUGAAAGCCCGGGGCCGAACCCCGGGACUGCUUUGGAAACUGUGUAACUGGAGUGCAGGAGGGGCAGGCGGAAUGCCUGGUGUAGCGGUGAAAUGCGUAGAUAUCAGGAGGAACACCGGCGGCGAAGGCGGCCUGCUGGACUGAAACUGACGUUGAGGCUCGAAAGCGUGGGGAGCAAACAGGAUUAGAUACCCUUGUAGUC
RNAcentral lists this ribosomal RNA (440 nucleotides) under uncultured bacterium. RNAcentral's name for it is "partial 16S ribosomal RNA". It matches the Rfam family "Bacterial small subunit ribosomal RNA", at positions 338 to 795 of the family's 1533-position model. The record is from RNAcentral.